UACAGAGGGGGCCAGCGUUAUUCGGAAUUAUUGGGCGUAAAGGGCGCGUAGGCGGCCAUGCGUGUCUUCCGUGAAAUCCCUCGGCUUAACUGAGGACGUGCGGAAGAAACUGCAAGGCUUGAGUCCGGGAGAGGGGGGUGGAAUUCCCAGUGUAGCGGUGAAAUGCGUAGAUAUCUGGAGGAACACCGGUGGCGAAGGCGGCAUUCUGGACCGAUAUUGACGCUGAGGAGCGAAAGCCAGGGGAGCAAACGGG
This 253-nucleotide ribosomal RNA is filed under the name uncultured bacterium. RNAcentral's name for it is "partial 16S ribosomal RNA". It matches the Rfam family "Bacterial small subunit ribosomal RNA", at positions 524 to 776 of the family's 1533-position model. The record is from RNAcentral.